Non-coding RNA from Triticum aestivum (bread wheat), 115 nucleotides. The record is from Rfam. Lineage: Eukaryota; Viridiplantae; Streptophyta; Magnoliopsida; Poales; Poaceae.
UAAGUACUCCCUCCGUUCCGAAUUACUUGUCGCAGAUAUUGAUGUAUAUAGAUGUAUUUUAGUUCUAGAUACAUCCAUUUCUGCGACAAAUAAUUUGGAACGGAGGGAGUAGUAA